GUGAUGACCCAGAGAUCAUAGCAGAUUACGUUAAAUCUAGCAAUCUGAACGAUUCGAAAGGAAGUGACAAAGCUCGUAACUAGGAUUAUUAUAUACAAGUUCUGUAGUGAGGCAAAGGUUCUAAUAAGGAUAAGUACGAUCAGUAAG
Long non-coding RNA from Hibiscus syriacus, 147 nucleotides. RefSeq lists it as uncharacterized. The transcript is spliced from 3 exons. The record is from RefSeq and is a predicted model, not a curated record. NCBI's taxonomy places the organism in Eukaryota, Viridiplantae, Streptophyta, Magnoliopsida, Malvales, Malvaceae.